This is a transfer RNA of Camelus ferus (Wild Bactrian camel), 73 nucleotides long. It matches the Rfam family "tRNA". Rfam says of the family: Transfer RNA (tRNA) molecules are approximately 80 nucleotides in length. Their secondary structure includes four short double-helical elements and three loops (D, anti-codon, and T loops). The record is from Rfam. Lineage: Eukaryota; Metazoa; Chordata; Mammalia; Artiodactyla; Camelidae.
GAGGGCAUAGCUCAAGUGGUAGAGCACAUGCUUAGCAUGCACAAGGUCCUGGGUUCAAUCCCCAGUACCUCCU